Molecule: ribosomal RNA, 500 nt
Filed under: uncultured bacterium
Lineage: Bacteria
Description: partial 16S ribosomal RNA
Rfam family: Bacterial small subunit ribosomal RNA
Source: RNAcentral
AUUGAACGCUGGCGGAAUGCUUUACACAUGCAAGUCGAACGGCAGCACGGACUUCGGUCUGGUGGCGAGUGGCGAACGGGUGAGUAAUACAUCGGAACGUGCCCAGUCGUGGGGGAUAACGUAGCGAAAGCUACGCUAAUACCGCAUACGAUCUAAGAAUGAAAGCGGGGGAUCGCAAGACCUCGCGCGAUUGGAGCGGCCGAUGGCAGAUUAGGUAGUUGGUGGGGUAAAGGCCUACCAAGCCGACGAUCUGUAGCUGGUCUGAGAGGACGACCAGCCACACUGGGACUGAGACACGGCCCAGACUCCUACGGGAGGCAGCAGUGGGGAAUUUUGGACAAUGGGCGCAAGCCUGAUCCAGCCAUUCCGCGUGCAGGAUGAAGGCCCUCGGGUUGUAAACUGCUUUUGUACGGAACGAAAAGGCUCUGGUUAAUACCCGGGGCUCAUGACGGUACCGUAAGAAUAAGCACCGGCUAACUACGUGCCAACAGCCGCCGUAA